RNAcentral lists this long non-coding RNA (957 nucleotides) under Gouania willdenowi (blunt-snouted clingfish). RNAcentral's name for it is "lncRNA (ENSGWIG00000000904.1)". Lineage: Eukaryota; Metazoa; Chordata; Actinopteri; Blenniiformes; Gobiesocidae. The record is from RNAcentral.
GUCCGGCUGUGACGCUUUUAACAAACACGGAAGUGAAGAUCGUCAGCGUGACGGAGACCCAGAAAGUCAGGGGAUAGUGACGUUAAUCCUCUAAUUUACACCGGUUUUUCUUUCUGUUUGGGGUUUUUUUUUCCUAUGUGGAAGUUUUAGGGUUUGUUUAUAUAAUUGGAGCAGGGGAAGUGCUGAAAUGGCGUUUGUAAACCUGUUUACGAGUCUUAGCAGCCCUAAAGAAGACAGUGGGCGCCACGCGCAGCCCGCCUUCACACACCGGAAUUUCACUGAUUAUAGUCCCAGAGGUGGAUUCAGGAAGAGGAAAACCAACAAAGGGCAACCUGGGUCUCCUUGGAAGAGGCCAUGUAACAGAGAGCAGACAAACACGGCUCACGAUGCCUCCAUGGACAGGAACUCACAUCAUCCACACGGUGCUGAUCGUGGCAACAACUGCUACCACGGUCAAAAUCCACAGAGGACAAAUGGCUCGAACGGGAACAAGCAACAUCAACAACAACAACAAGGAAAUAAAAACAACAAUAAGAAAAACAACUAUCGGGAGGAUGUCACAAACAGAGGAUGGCACAGCAGGCGUGGAGGCAGAAAAGGUGCCCCAGGACGUAAAUACGGCGGGCAGGAUGUUCGUACAAAGACUAUGAGAAUGGACCCAAAGUUCAAGGAGCAGAAUGUGGUAGAGCUGGAUGGACGCAUGCUGUGUCGGCAUUUCUUUUUAGGAGCUUGCAUCAAGGUUAGGAACCGUCACCUCCAUAUCAAACGUCUGACGUUGUUGUGUCUCAUUACUGCCUUAUGUCUUUCCUUUACGAAGGGAGACCAGUGCCAACUGGAGCACAUUCAAGGCUACAAUGGCCUCAUCAAGGAAUGCUGCAAGUUCUACGUGCAGGGCCAAUGCAGCCGAGGCCAGAGCUGUCCGUUUAUGCACAAUAUCCUUCAUCAUGACCUUAUAGC